GACGAACGCUGGCGGCGUGCCUAAUACAUGCAAGUCGAACGAGAGCGACCGGUGCUUGCACUGGUCAAUCUAGUGGCGAACGGGUGAGUAACACGUGGGUAACCUGCCCAUCAGAGGGGGAUAACAUCCGGAAACGGAUGCUAAAACCGCAUAGGUCUUCGAACCGCAUGGUUUGAAGAGGAAAAGAGGCGCAAGCUUCUGCUGAUGGAUGGACCCGCGGUGCAUUAGCUAGUUGGUGAGGUAACGGCACACCAAGGCCGUGAUGCAUAGCCGACCUGAGAGGGUGAUCGGCCACAUUGGGACUGAGACACGGCCCAAACUCCUACGGGAGGCAGCAGUAGGGAAUCUUCCGCAAUGGACGCAAGUCUGACGGAGCAACGCCGCGUGAGUGAAGAAGGUUUUCGGAUCGUAAAACUCUGUUGUUAGAGAAGAGCAAGUGCUAGAGUAACUGUUAGCGCCUUGACGGUAUCUAACCAGAAAGCCACGGCUAACUACGUG
This 498-nucleotide ribosomal RNA is filed under the name uncultured bacterium. Its description in RNAcentral is "partial 16S ribosomal RNA". It matches the Rfam family "Bacterial small subunit ribosomal RNA", at positions 28 to 507 of the family's 1533-position model. The record is from RNAcentral.